CAAAUUGUGGCUAAAUUAGCAAAGCACCUCCCUUACACUGAGGAGAUAUCCGUGCAACUCGGAUCAUUUUGA
Molecule: transfer RNA, 72 nt
Filed under: Scyliorhinus retifer (chain catshark)
Lineage: Eukaryota; Metazoa; Chordata; Chondrichthyes; Carcharhiniformes; Scyliorhinidae
Description: tRNA-Val
Rfam family: tRNA
About the family: Transfer RNA (tRNA) molecules are approximately 80 nucleotides in length.
Source: RNAcentral